CCCGGCAUUUCCGGUGACGUCACGGCGCAGUGCCGGGUUCACGGGGACUACCAUUUGUCCACUUCCAUGUUGUAAAAGACGAUUUUCCCCUCCCUUUCUAGCUGCUUACAGCUCCGGAAAAGACGGAGAUCGGUCACGGAUUGUGUCCUCUAGCUCCCGAUCGGCUGGCGAGCGGCACUGGAGGGAAAAGCGGUGUUGACCCUGAAAGUGCAGAGAAACCCAGCUAGGAGCUGAAUAGCAAACACUUCACAGCAAUCUUCAUACCGCUAAACAUUUGACAACCCAGUUGCUACAUCUCGCUUGCUGAAGUUGGUUGUGUCAGACUGUCAACAGAGUUGCCGGCUCACCCGUCCUGUCACAGCCACACCUUUGCCUGAUUGUUCCCAAACAGCUUCAAACACUGCUGUUGCUCGUGAUGGAAAAGCAGUGACACCAGCGCCAGAGGUACAGCCAUGGAUGCCUUGACAGUUGUGACCCCCCGAGCAGGCUCCGCUCACUAGUGCUGAAGAACUGGGUUGCCUUACUUCUCACCAUGCUGCACUGCGCAAACAGCCUCUGAACCGUCGCAUAGCUAGGAACCACACACAGUUGCCCUUCACCACAAAUCACGAUGGAGAAAUCCGAGUCACCUUCUCUGUCAGUGAGUGUGACCUCCGACCCAGAGGUCGCGGUGGACCAGACCACUAUCCCCAGGGAGGGGGAGACAGUUGAGACCCCGAGUGAAAAACCCAGCUCCAGACAAGGUUCCCUGUCCCGCGAGAGCAGUCAAGAGGGUGUCACAACGCCAAAGGAUGGAUCACAAAUCCAAGUGCUAGUGGAGGAGCACCACGAUGGUGACGAUGAGUGGGAGGAGCGGGAUGGCGGGCGCCGCUACGAGAAGUCCGCCAGGUCCGAUCACCGUGGCGACGGCAGGAUGUCCUCCGAGAGAGGGCGGGGGAAGGGCAAGGCUCACCCAAAGAUCAAGCUGUUGGUGAGAAGUCGUGCCGUCCAUGAUGACACUUCACCCCCCGCGACCCCUGACCCUCCCAUAGUUGAACAGAAACAGUCCCCCACCAAGGAGCUGAAGUCCCAGGAGAGCGGAGACAGUGCCUGCAGUGGGCUCACCACACCCAGAAGUACAGCCAGCCUUUCAAGAGAUUCCAGUCAAGAUAAGGAGUACACAGACUUCACAGGGGUGGACCUGCACCAGUUUAUUGUAGAUACCCUCAAAAAUAACCCUAGAGAUAGAAUGAUGCUUUUGAAGCUAGAGAAAGACUGUAUAGAAUUAAUUAACGAGGAGAAGACACACCAGAAAACAUUUCCACCAAUGACGUCGUACCAUAGAAUGUUAGUGCACAGAGUCGCUGCUUAUUUCGGCAUGGACCACAAUGUGGACUCGACGGGGAAAGCUGUAAUCAUAAACAAGACGUGUAAUACUAGAAUACCAGAGCAGAAAUUUAGUGAACACAUAAAGGACAACAGUAGAGGAGAAGAACCUCAGAGAAGACAGAUCCUACAGAGGGACAGAGAGAGCAGCUCAGAAAAAGAGGAGGUAUCGAAAGACAGAAUACCCACGCUACGAGAGGACAAGAAGAGCAAGUCAAUAGAAGAGAGAGAGGAAGAGUAUGAAAAGGCUCGCGCAAGGAUAUUCAACCAAGAUGUCUCCAUUUCUUUUCCACAGUCAACGUCAUCGGUAGACACAGACUCAGGCUUUAGAAGUCGGUCCAGCAGACAGAGCAGCCAGGAGGACACGCCGCGGUGGCACGACUACGGUCGGCCCUGGAGCAGCACAGACUCUGACACCAGCACCAACCGCAUACAGAGGCCCACCGUCACGAAAGCCAGCAGCUUUGGCGGCACGCCCAUGUUAGCGCGUGGAGACAGCGGUGACAGGAGCGGCAGGGGCAGUGGGAAACUAUCCAAACAAGGGUCUGACGCCAGCGGGUCCAUAGCAGCAAGGAGUCAGCCUUUGGGGAUGCAGCCCUCCAUCAGCAUCAGUUACCCCACCUCUGUUAGCACUACACAGGUCACCUGGUCAGGAGGGAGUGAGGGGAGUUCGGUUCCCAGUUUCUCAGGGACGGGGACGGGGACAGGAGUCCUCUGGGCGGUGUCGGACAUCUCCCAAAUCCCCCCUGGCAGUGUCCUCAUCAACCCUCAGACUGGUCAGCCCUUUCUAAAUGCAGACGGGUCUCCAGUGAUAUUCCAGCCCCAGAUGGUUGCCCAGCAACAGCCAAUGAGAGGCCAGCAGCAGCAGCAGCCCCAGCAGCAACAACAGAUGUCUUCUCAGCCCUCCCCGCAGCAGCCUGUUAUCUACACAUCGUACGUCCCGCAGCAACAACAGAUGGUGCAGGGACAGGGGCAGUAUGUGGUGGGGGAGGAGUCCCAAGGUCAGUUAGGAGACAUGACCCCGCAGUUCCAGCAGCUGAACAUCAGCAGACAGUCCUCAGGGGACAGCGCGGUCGAGCUGUCCUCCCCACAGCAGGGUCAGCAUCCCAUGUACGCUGCACAGGGCCAGUUCCUGACGUCCCCAGUGCAGCCCCCAGCCCCCUAUCAGCACAGCCAGGCUCAGCCGGUCAUGGGUCAGCAGCCGUUCGUCCAGGGGGGUAUGCAGCAGGUCCCUGUGUACUUUCUGCCCCCAAACCAGCUUCCGCAGGGGUUCCGGGCGGUGGUUCCCAUGUACGUGGCUCCCGCACAGCAGCAGCAGCAACAGCAGGCCUCUAGUCAGCAGGUGCCUCUCCAGUCCGGGCAGUACAGCCAGCAGCAGCACACGCUCCUGUCCCCCCAGCAGGUUCCCCAGUACCCCUCCUACCAGAUCCCCACCAUACAGACCCCCCAGGGGGUCACCGCCCCGGGGCAGGGGUUCCAGCCCGUGGGGGUGGGGCAGAGUCAGCAGGGGAUGCAGCAACAGGUUCCAAUGCAGUCCUACUACAUGGUGCCCUGCUCCGGCACGGCGCCAGCAGUGGUGGCCUACCCUCCCCCCUCCGACCAAACUCAGAUGGGACGACCCCCUUCCCCCUCACAGGGACAGCAGGUGAUGUCGGGUCAGUACGUCACGUUUGCGUACUCCCAGCAGCGGGCGCCGUCGCCACAGAUGCACCAAUCACAGGCCUACAACGUGCAAUCCCCGCCCACCUCUCCUCAGACCUUCUCCUCGGGCAGCUACGCCAGCAGGUCCGCGCAGCAGAGGCAAGCGCCCACCGUACAGAUAUCAGGGACAUCCUCGCCACCCCCACAGGCAUCGCAGCCGUAUUCCCAACAACGUAAGUCGUUUGAGGGGAGAAUGCCCAAGUCAGACCUGUACCAGCAUAACCAUCGCGGAGGGUCGCCCGUGGGCCACAGCCCCCGCCCCUCCCCCUCGCAGUCUCCCCAGGCCACGGCGGCGAAUCCCGUUAGAACGGGCAUCAUUAUCCCGCCGGCGCAAUUCGGCCGACCACUUAUCCAGGGGCAAUCAUUCCCCGCUCCAGUGCUGGCCCAACCUCUCCAGUUCGCCCCCCAAGUCCGCCCCAAAGUGGUAUAUCCCCAGCAGCAGCAGCAGUCUUCACAGCAGGGUGGGGCCCAACCAUCGCAGCAGCAGGGGGGGAAGGGAUCCAAACAGCAGCAGAGAAAAGGCCCCAAGAAGGCUCGCUCUGCAGAAGUGCCCACAGAAUCUGAACAAGGUCCCCGACGGCCCCAGCGUUUCAGUCGUGAAUACGAAGACUAUUAUGAUUAUGACAAGAAGAAAAUCCCAAAGGUGCUGAGCCACGUGUUGGAAGUGUUCGACCUUCCCGAAGGCUUAAAGAGACACGAGACGGAGACCCUGUUCAAGGAUCUCACCAAGGUUGGCGGCAAGAUACGAUGGCUCCAAGAGUCGCGCUCCGGCGGUCGUCGUGGUGACGGCAAGAGCUCAGACUUGGUGUCGGACUAUAUCGUUCUCGCCGUCUUUACGACCAAGUCCGCCGCCCAGAACACGUUAAAGACAGUCAGCAGCGAACACUUCAAAUUGAGACCACCACAGAAACAGUACGAUAUCCGCCUCUUGGAACGCUCCAGUACCACAUAGAUAUGGUAUUUUUGUAGCCACACGUUGUGUAGUUCUAGCGUUCAGUCACGUGUCUGACUAGGUUGCCUCUCUCCUCAGUACUGUAGUGCUGCUUUCUACUCUACUCUGAUGUUCUCUCUGUUCGUUGGGUAAUAAACUAAUAAACAAGUUUCAUGCUGGGAGCCCACAGCCAUAACCCUCUAAGCCUCACCACGUAACGUUGUCGGUAAUAUGAUAUGUGAACGUGCACUGUUGUCGUAGUCUAGGAGAUGAACCUUUCAAUCUUGGGCCAGAGGUCAGAGGUCAAAGUACACCAAGCUGCUGGAGUUGCACGGGGUUCCAUGAUGCACUGCACUGCUUACAGCGGCUGUGUGGUGCAUUCUGGGAUGUGGAACAUAUUAUGGAGUAGGAAGUUCUUCCUUCAGCCAAGGUGCCUUUCAGAAAUCUUAAGAAACGUCGUUCCUGCAACUUUUCUUUCAGAUUUUUGUACACAUCUCUGUUUGCUGUCUUAUGACUGUACUCCUAAUUGAUUUGCUCGUUAAGUUUCUACACUCCUUCCACCAACCUGUCAUUAUGCUAGUUUGAAAGACGGUAUCUUCACAUGAAAUUGUCAAUUUUUGCUCUUUCCGCCUUCUGUGUAAACCUGUCUUAUGCAUUACCAAUGCUUCUUUUUAAUAGUAUAAGUCAUAAAUGUAUGGUCUGUUUUUCCGUUUACUCUUACGUGCAACUUCUCUGAGAAUCCUGGAAAGUCUUAGGGUUCUGAUAUUUAAUAAGCAAUAUUGUUACACACAUAGGGUACUUACUGGGAAAUACUUUGAUCCAUGCAUGUGCAAAAAAUUUGUUCAAAAAGCAUGCACCCGUGUUGUUUUAUCUUCUCGCUCUCUCGCUCUAUAUAUGUAUGUUUUUCUAUCGGAACUUGUCUUUCAAGGUCGCAUGUGACAUCCGCCCCCCUCCCCCCCAAGUGUAAAUGUACUAGUGCCAUUUCUCUCUCUGUGGCUGGGAUCCUUCCAGCACCCUGGUUAUGCUGCUUAGACACCUGUAUAUUAUCUAUAUAACCAAGUACGACCAUGGUGUGGCUAUAGAUAGCGCUCCGAUUCCCUAGGAUGUUGAAUAGGUGAGAAAUCAGAUAGAAAAGCCGUUUUGGUGUAGUGUAUAUUUAAUGUGUAUCUAUACAAGAGAACGUCGUGCAAGAUAAGAGAGAAUUUUUUCACCCAUUUUUUAUUUGAAGACCGGUUGGCGCGGGCGAGGUUGUCCCUCAGAACUGUUGUAGUGACUGUUGUAUCGUGGAUACAACGUGAUAUGCCCCACACACGUAUGUAGAUACGGCUUACUCGAUAUGUGGUGUGAGAAUAUACAGGUAUUUCCUGACACAGUAUAUUUGUGCGUAUAUAUGAUGAUGAUGAUGAUGAAGAAAUAAAGUCUUGAACUGUG
Branchiostoma floridae (Florida lancelet) is the source of this 5428-nucleotide RNA transcript. It is a transcript of the gene named cAMP-regulated phosphoprotein 21-like, with no coding region annotated. The transcript is spliced from 32 exons. NCBI's taxonomy places the organism in Eukaryota, Metazoa, Chordata, Leptocardii, Amphioxiformes, Branchiostomatidae. The record is from RefSeq and is a predicted model, not a curated record.